AGAGUUUGAUCAUGGCUCAGGAUGAACGCUGGCGGCGUGCCUAACACAUGCAAGUCGAGCGAGAAGCUUAUGAAGGAACCUUCGGGUGACGGAAUAAGUGGAAAGCGGCGGACGGGUGAGUAACGCGUGGGUAACCUGCCCCAUACAAAGGGAUAGCCACUGGAAACGGUGAUUAAUACCAUAUAACAUCAUAGUGUCGCAUGACACAUUGAUCAAAGAUUUAUCGGUAUGGGAUGGACCCGCGUCUGAUUAGCUAGUUGGUAAGGUAAUGGCUUACCAAGGCGACGGUCAGUAGCCGACCUGAGAGGGUGAUCGGCCACACUGGAACUGAGACACGGUCCAGACUCCUACGGGAGGCAGCAGUGGGGAAUAUUGCACAAUGGGCGCAAGCCUGAUGCAGCAACGCCGCGUGAGCGAUGAAGGCCUUCGGGUCGUAAAGCUCUGUCCUCAAGGAAGAAUAAAUGACGGUACUUGAGGAGGAAGCCCCGGCUAACUACGUGCCAGCAGCCGCGGUAAUACGUAGGGGGCAAGCGUUAUCCGGAAUCACUGGGCGUAAAGGGUGCGUAGGUGGUCUGACAAGUCAGAAGUGAAAGGCAUUGGCUCAACCAAUGUAAGCUUUUGAAACUGUCAGACUUGAGUGCAGGAGAGGAAAGUGGAAUUCCUAGUGUAGAGGUGAAAUUCGUAGAUAUUAGGAGGAACA
Molecule: ribosomal RNA, 700 nt
Filed under: uncultured bacterium
Lineage: Bacteria
Description: bacterial SSU rRNA
Rfam family: Bacterial small subunit ribosomal RNA
Source: RNAcentral